GCUGGCGGCGUGCUUAACACAUGCAAGUCGAACGGAAAGGCCCUGCUUUUGUGGGGUGCUCGAGUGGCGAACGGGUGAGUAACACGUGAGUAACCUGCCCUUGACUUUGGGAUAACUUCAGGAAACUGGGGCUAAUACCGGAUAGGAGCUCCUGCUGCAUGGUGGGGGUUGGAAAGUUUCGGCGGUUGGGGAUGGACUCGCGGCUUAUCAGCUUGUUGGUGGGGUAGUGGCUUACCAAGGCUUUGACGGGUAGCCGGCCUGAGAGGGUGACCGGCCACAUUGGGACUGAGAUACGGCCCAGACUCCUACGGGAGGCAGCAGUGGGGAAUAUUGCACAAUGGGCGGAAGCCUGAUGCAGCAACGCCCCGUGCGGGAUGACGGCCUUCGGGUUGUAAACCGCUUUCGCCUGUGACGAAGCGUGACUGAC
RNAcentral lists this ribosomal RNA (427 nucleotides) under uncultured soil bacterium. RNAcentral's name for it is "bacterial SSU rRNA". It matches the Rfam family "Bacterial small subunit ribosomal RNA", at positions 35 to 460 of the family's 1533-position model. The record is from RNAcentral.